This 254-nucleotide ribosomal RNA is filed under the name uncultured bacterium. RNAcentral's name for it is "partial 16S ribosomal RNA". It matches the Rfam family "Bacterial small subunit ribosomal RNA", at positions 524 to 777 of the family's 1533-position model. The record is from RNAcentral.
UACGUAGGGGGCAAGCGUUGUCCGGAAUUAUUGGGCGUAAAGAGCUCGUAGGCGGCUUGUCGCGUCGGAUGUGAAAGCCCGGGGCUUAACUCCGGGUCUGCAUUCGAUACGGGUAGGCUAGAGUUCGGUAGGGGAGAUCGGAAUUCCUGGUGUAGCGGUGAAAUGCGUAGAUAUCUGGAGGAAUACCGGUGGCGAAGGCGGCAUCCUGGACCGACAUUGACGCUGAACGGCGAAAGCUAGGGGAGCAAACGGGG